Molecule: long non-coding RNA, 2249 nt
Organism: Stegostoma tigrinum
Lineage: Eukaryota; Metazoa; Chordata; Chondrichthyes; Orectolobiformes; Stegostomatidae
Exons: 3
Source: RefSeq, a predicted model, not a curated record
GUCGUGACCUAAAACGUCGACUUUACUAUUCCUCUGAUGUUGCCUGAUUUGCUGAGUUCCUCCAGCUUCACACUGUAUUGACCAGUAACCCAACGGCAAGUACAAAUUUGCGCAAAGAUAAGAGGCAUGUAAUUAGUAUAAUUGCAGACCCCGAUCUCACUUGAGAGAGCUAUCUCCCCGCUGCUAAACCCCGGAGAGGGAUCCCAAGGAGCUACCAUCCUGAGAGCGAUCUCAACAGCCAUCUCCAGGAAAGGAACCUGAAAGAGCUAUAUCACCGAGAGCUACCUGCACUGCUAUCACUGGAAAAGGGAUCCCAAUAGCAAAUCCGAAAACUCCUGACACAAGCUUGUUCCAUACCAGAGGCAUGAAUGGUAACCGACCACGGCCUACAGACCAAACAACCGACAACGUCCAAAGACCACGGACCUGACUGACACCGCAAGGCCUCAGGCACAUCUUCAGGUGAGAAGCGGUCCGCAAAACCAGCAUGAAGUAAGGAAGACAAAGUACUCACCUGAUAAAUCCAAAACACGUCCUACUGCAUCAGUGGACUCAACCCAGACUAAAGGCCGACACAGUCCAAAGCCUUCAUCAAGGCACCGGUACGGCAAGCGAGAAGAGCCAGGUCUACUUCAAAAUCGCAUUUUUCCCCACUGAUGCAGCCAGACCUACUGAGCUUUUCCAGCAACUUUGUUUUUUGUUCCCGUUUUCUCUGAUUGGUUGGGGCAUCUGCCCCUUGCUUACUAUUGGUCGUGAGACGUCAGCAAUCAGGAGGAUCGGUUGCUGGAGCAUGCGCACAGUGAAUUGGAAUCGUGAGCGAGGAUGGAAUGUUGUCAAUGCUGCGUGUGAUGGCCUGAAAGAAGUGUUCGAAUAUCUCAUGCACAGGCGCAUCAAGUGGGCCAGUAGCGUGGACUCAUGGCGGUGUCACCAGAGGUGAAUUUCGGUUCCCAGCAACUUCUGCAUUGAUGAGGUAGUCCUUGCAUUGACUCAUGGCUGCUGCUAAGGAGGCACGUUUGGGUUCCCAGUAGUGUCAGUGCUCUGUGCAGCCUCAUGGAGGCAGAGGCAAGUCUGAGGCCCAAUAUGAGACCCAACAGCACCAGCAGCGGCUGCAUCGGCGAGGUGGACUUGAAAUGGAUUCAUGGUGGCAGUCGAGUUUCAACUAGUGUGGUGCCCAGCAGAAUUGGUGGCGUCUGUGUUGUUGAGAUCCAAGGAGGACUCCCAGCGGUGAAGUCAUCAGUGGAGUUUAGAUGGUGUGGAAGAAUGGCAACUUCCAUUCCAACAACUGUGGCCAGCUGAAGGGAAUGCAUAUUUGGCCACCAGGCCCAUGACACAGCACUUGACAAGAAGGACUGUAAAGUUGGAUAUUUUCUUUAUUUCUUCAUCAUUCUGCAUUUAUAUUGUAUGUUUGGUUUACUUUUCUGUUUUAGGAUGGUGCUGGAGAGUGGCAACUCUAGCAUACUUUUCACACUGUUGUAACAAGAUACAUGUGACAAUAAACAAAUCAAAUGCUUGCAGAACAUGUUUUCCCUGGAAGCAGAGACGAGGACUGUAGGGCACAGCAUCAGAACCCUUUAUAACUGAGAUGCAAAAUUUCUUCAGCCAGAAGCUGGUGAAUUGCCACCAGAAGACUGGUGGCCAAAUCAUUUGGUGUAUUUAAAUACAGAAAUAGGUUCUUGAUUAGUAAGGGGAUCAGGGGUUAUGGGGAGAUGUCAGGAGACUUGGGUUGAGAAAUAACAGCCAUGAUUGAAAAGGGGAACUGAAUCAGUGGGCCGAAUGGCCUAAUUCUACUCCUUUCCCUUUUAUGGUCCUAUUUGGCCAAUCGAGCCUGUUCUGUAAGAUUGUAGCUGGUCUGAUUCAGACUUCAACUCCACUUUAUUUCCAAUCUCCUGGGACCCCGACUUUGCAUUUCUAACCUUGACUGAAACUUCUGAUUUCUGUCAUCUCCUUCCCCAGGGAUUUAUAAAAUUUGAGGGCAGCAAGAAUUUAUUUUCCUGGCUUCUGAUAUCUUUCCAGCUGCAGGCUCCAGCAGGAGUUUUCAAAACAGCUAGGUUCUUUGGCAGGUGAGUAUUUUUGAGCAUUCAUCUACAAUUUCAAUAUUUCUGAGCAGUGCUGUGGCUACUUGACUGUGGAUCUGAAUCCAUGUCCAUAUAUUGCUCUGUUUUACCUCCUGAUUUGAUUUGAUUUAUUGUUGUCUUGUCCACUCACCUCUCAGCCUUGAAUGAUGGUUAAAAUAAAAAUCUUGUUUGGUA